RNAcentral lists this ribosomal RNA (500 nucleotides) under Yarrowia lipolytica. RNAcentral describes it as "eukaryotic LSU rRNA". It matches the Rfam family "Eukaryotic large subunit ribosomal RNA", at positions 85 to 667 of the family's 3401-position model. The record is from RNAcentral. Lineage: Eukaryota; Fungi; Ascomycota; Dipodascomycetes; Dipodascales.
UACGGCGAGUGAAGCGGCAAAAGCUCAAAUUUGAAACCCUCGGGAUUGUAAUUUGAAGAUUUGGCAUUGGAGAAAGCUAACCCAAGUUGCUUGGAAUAGUACGUCAUAGAGGGUGACAACCCCGUCUGGCUAACCGUUCUCCAUGUAUUGCCUUAUCAAAGAGUCGAGUUGUUUGGGAAUGCAGCUCAAAGUGGGUGGUAAACUCCAUCUAAAGCUAAAUACUGGUGAGAGACCGAUAGCGAACAAGUACUGUGAAGGAAAGGUGAAAAGAACUUUGAAAAGAGAGUGAAAUAGUAUGUGAAAUUGUUGAUAGGGAAGGAAAUGAGUGGAGAGUGGCCGAGGUUUCAGCCGCCCCUCGUGGGCGGUGUACUGCCGACGCCGAGUCAUCGAUAGCGAGACGAGGGUUACAAAUGGGAGCGCCUUCGGGCGUUCUCCCCUAACCCUCCACACUGCCACCGACGACAUAAUCCACCCAUUUCACCCGUCUUGAAACACGGACC